This 227-nucleotide unclassified non-coding RNA is filed under the name Hevea brasiliensis (rubber tree). The record is from RNAcentral. Lineage: Eukaryota; Viridiplantae; Streptophyta; Magnoliopsida; Malpighiales; Euphorbiaceae.
AAAAAUCUUGUACAAACUUCAAUCACAUAUUUGUGAUUUCAAUCAAUGAACCUUGAAUAAAAACUCAUUUGCCUCUUUCUAACUUACAAAUGCAUAAAGUAUGUCACAUUAGAAAGAAAAAUAUAACUUGAAUUUUCAAGAGAUACAACGCCCCUAGUAGAGAUGUUUAUCAGAUGUCAAGUUGGUAACAACUAAAAUCAAACUGGUACAUAAUUCAUAAAUAAAUG